Molecule: long non-coding RNA, 303 nt
Organism: Thunnus maccoyii (southern bluefin tuna)
Lineage: Eukaryota; Metazoa; Chordata; Actinopteri; Scombriformes; Scombridae
Exons: 3
Source: RefSeq, a predicted model, not a curated record
GCUCCUCCUCUGGGUCCCAAGACCAGCGGCUGGAAGCCGGAGUGAUUGAAGGAACAGGUAUCUGAAGACAGAGAAGACAGACAUGCAAGAUAGAUGUGACGCGAACUCCAGUUGAAUCCCAGGUCGCCUGAAAGCCAAAGUCUUUGCUGCUGUUGGGCUUCUGGUUUAGGCUGAUCCGCAUCUCACAGUAGCUCUCCUAGAAACCAAACAUCAACACAGUAGGUCAUUUGAGUACCUGGCUGCUAUCUUUGGCUGGAGCAGGACUGACUGGAGCUUCACUCUUGACCUCAGCUGGGACAGGUG